RNAcentral lists this ribosomal RNA (598 nucleotides) under Klebsiella pneumoniae. RNAcentral describes it as "partial 23S ribosomal RNA". It matches the Rfam family "Bacterial large subunit ribosomal RNA", at positions 906 to 1506 of the family's 2925-position model. Lineage: Bacteria; Pseudomonadati; Pseudomonadota; Gammaproteobacteria; Enterobacterales; Enterobacteriaceae. The record is from RNAcentral.
AGCACUGUUUCGGCUAGGGGGUCAUCCCGACUUACCAACCCGAUGCAAACUACGAAUACCGAAGAAUGUUAUCACGGGAGACACACGGCGGGUGCUAACGUCCGUCGUGAAGAGGGAAACAACCCAGACCGCCAGCUAAGGUCCCAAAGUCAUGGUUAAGUGGGAAACGAUGUGGGAAGGCACAGACAGCCAGGAUGUUGGCUUAGAAGCAGCCAUCAUUUAAAGAAAGCGUAAUAGCUCACUGGUCGAGUCGGCCUGCGCGGAAGAUGUAACGGGGCUAAACCAUGCACCGAAGCUGCGGCAGCGACACUAUGUGUUGUUGGGUAGGGGAGCGUUCUGUAAGCCUGCGAAGGUGUGCUGUGAGGCAUGCUGGAGGUAUCAGAAGUGCGAAUGCUGACAUAAGUAACGAUAAAGCGGGUGAAAAGCCCGCUCGCCGGAAGACCAAGGGUUCCUGUCCAACGUUAAUCGGGGCAGGGUGAGUCGACCCCUAAGGCGAGGCCGAAAGGCGUAGUCGAUGGGAAACAGGUUAAUAUUCCUGUACUUGGUGUUACUGCGAAGGGGGGACGGAGAAGGCUAUGUUAGCCGGGCGACGGUUGUC